UCUCUGUUUUACAGCGUAUUGUAAUCUUGCGUAGUCAUGCUCACCGGGAUACGGCGCACAAGUGACUUCGAACAGUCCGCCAAAGAGGGUGACAGCCCCGUACUGUGCCUUAUCCUAACGAGCAGGCUUACAAAGAGUCGGGUUGUUUGGUAUUGCAGCCCUAAGCGGGAGAUAAACUUCUUCUAAGGCUAAAUAUAUGUGGGAAACCGAUAGCGAACAAGUACUGUGAAGGAAAGAUGAAAAGCACUUUGGAAAGAGAGUCAAAAGACCUGAAACCGUUGAGAAGGAAGCGGUAGAGAUGAAUUCUACAGCGGGGCGCUGGGAAAUCGGCCUAGCCACUUUGGGGUUGUCGUUCGUCAAAGGCGGCGCUCUAAAUUAGGGGAAGCCGGUCUCUUGUGCAUCGUUGUGAGGCCGGAUGGGGUUGAGUCCUCUCAAAAAGCUUUUAAGCCUGGGCCCCCUCGGGGGUCAGCUUGGGAGUGGUAAGAGGGCGCAGCCUGAGGUUGCCUUGUGCGAUCCGGUCAAAAUGGUCUUUACCGACUCGUCUUGAAACACGAACCAAGGAGUCUA
This 567-nucleotide ribosomal RNA is filed under the name uncultured Strombidium. RNAcentral's name for it is "partial large subunit ribosomal RNA". It matches the Rfam family "Eukaryotic large subunit ribosomal RNA", at positions 121 to 677 of the family's 3401-position model. Lineage: Eukaryota; Ciliophora; Spirotrichea; Strombidiidae. The record is from RNAcentral.